This 245-nucleotide ribosomal RNA is filed under the name uncultured bacterium. RNAcentral describes it as "partial 16S ribosomal RNA". It matches the Rfam family "Bacterial small subunit ribosomal RNA", at positions 524 to 768 of the family's 1533-position model. The record is from RNAcentral.
UACGUAGGGGGCGAGCGUUGUCCGAAUUCACUGGGCGUAAAGCGCGCGUAGGCGGGCCUUUAAGUUGGGGGUGAAAUGCCGGAGCUCAACUCCGGAACUGCCUUCAAAACUGGGGGUCUUGAGGUAUGGAGAGGGAAGUGGAAUUCCUGGUGUAGCGGUGAAAUGCGUAGAUAUCAGGAGGAACACCUGUGGCGAAGGCGGCUUCCUGGCCAUAUCCUGACGCUGAGGUGCGAAAGCUAGGGGAG